Molecule: long non-coding RNA, 767 nt
Filed under: Homo sapiens (human)
Lineage: Eukaryota; Metazoa; Chordata; Mammalia; Primates; Hominidae
Description: non-protein coding RASGRF2-AS1:9
Source: RNAcentral
AAGCAAUAGAUGGUUGGCAGAGAAGCUGAAACGACUCGACCUCUACCAGGGCUCAGCUUUCUCAUCACUGAACUGGAGAUACAGGUAGUCCAAUCCACGAAAGUGUGAGAACCAUGAGCCUAGUCUCGACCUCAGGAGUUGCCUGAGGAAACUGAUGCUAAAAAUCCAAGUUGCAAAUCAAAAUAUUAGAAAAAUCAAGCCAUGCUCUAGACUUGGAAGCCCGACACUUAGAUCAUCUCUCUCUGAGCAGAGCCAGCUGUUGGCCCCCAUAGGAGUUGGAGACUUGGAAUCCCCUUUGGUGCAGAAACUAUUCCUUCAUGAGAAGAAGUCCUUAAAUAGGCUCUUUAGACAGGAGGCCACAUGUUGAAGGCAGCAGGGUCACAAGAUGGAAGAACCAGGGUCCCAGUAUCAUCGCUCCCUGCUUCAAGCUGCCAGGGGCAGCCUAACCCACAUGGCAUUAUGACAUAAGAAACAAAGUAACUAUUGUUUUAUUAAAUCAAUGAGAUAUUGGGCUUCUUGUUAUAGCAACUAGUAUAAAUUGCCCUGACUGAUACAUUAUGGAUUUAGAGUGCACUGUACUACAACUGUUUGUUGUAUUUUCAAAAUUGUGGUAUAACUGACUUACAAUAAACUUCAUAUAUUUAAAGAGUACUAUUUAAUAAGUUCAACAUAUUCAUAUAUCCAUGAAACCAUCACCACAAUCAAAAUAAGACACAUUUCCAUCAACUGAAAAAGUCUCCUCAUUCUCCUUUGAAAUCUCUUCUUCC